This 516-nucleotide long non-coding RNA is filed under the name Malus domestica (apple). RNAcentral's name for it is "long non-coding RNA (MDOM_LNC017763)". Lineage: Eukaryota; Viridiplantae; Streptophyta; Magnoliopsida; Rosales; Rosaceae. The record is from RNAcentral.
AUCUAAUGAAAUGAACCUUUAAUUUAUUUAAGAAAUUUUCGUGUUUUGAUCAUAUUAAAGAUUGUAAAUUGGUUUUAUUUAAAUUAUGUUUAAAUGUGAAAUUUUGGUAGAGCUUACACUAUCUUUAUUGAUUCAACUAGCCUAUAUUUUGUUAUAUGAAAACCACUGUCUCUAGUGUUUAAUCUUGCAAUUUUGAGUGUUUGCCCAAGUGGGAGAAAUAAUGUAUUAUGGGCUUCACACUCAUCAAUUUUGCAUGCUUUUAAUGGUCAUAGUUUUGGUAGAUAAAACAUACAUUAUCAUACUUGUUUAUAUUUUAUAUAUGCAACUAAUCUUGCAGGAAAUUCAAGAAGGGUUAAUGAGUAUAUUUUGCUCAAAAGUGUUUUGCUUAUUAAUUCUUGUUUGUUGUUCAAGAAAUUGGACUUGUGAUUUAUAUGUUAUUGAUGGAUAAUUAAUCUGCUCAAAAGUGUUUUCUUAUUCAAUCCAACUAUAAAUCAAUGAACGGUUAAACAUGGAAUU